Molecule: ribosomal RNA, 492 nt
Filed under: uncultured bacterium
Lineage: Bacteria
Description: partial 16S ribosomal RNA
Rfam family: Bacterial small subunit ribosomal RNA
Source: RNAcentral
AGUGAACGCUGGCGGUAGGCCUAACACAUGCAAGUCGAACGGCAGCACAGUAAGAGCUUGCUCUUACGGGUGGCGAGUGGCGGACGGGUGAGGAAUACAUCGGAAUCUACUUUUUCGUGGGGGAUAACGUAGGGAAACUUACGCUAAUACCGCAUACGACCUACGGGUGAAAGUAGGGGAUCUUCGGACCUUGCGCGAUUGAACGAGCCGAUGUCGGAUUAGCUAGUUGGCGGGGUAAAGGCCCACCAAGGCGACGAUCCGUAGCUGGUCUGAGAGGAUGGUCAGCCACACUGGAACUGAGACACGGUCCAGACUCCUACGGGAGGCAGCAGUGGCGAAUGUUAGACAGUGGGCGCAAGCCUGAUCCAGCCAUACCGCGUGGGUGAAGGAGGCCUUCGGGUUGUAAAGCCCUUUUGUUGGGAAAGAAAAGCAGCAGGUUAAUACGCCGCUGUUCUGACGGUACCCAAAGAAUAAGCACCGGCUAACUUCGUG